GACGAACCGUCCUAACGUUUUUCGGAAUCACUGGGCUUAAAGGGCGCGUAGGCGGGCGAUCAAGUCCAGGGUGAAAUCUUUCGGCUUAACUGGAAAACAGCCUUGGAUACUGAUUGUCUCGAGGGAGGCAGGGGCCGUUGGAACUUCCGGUGGAGCGGUGAAAUGCGUUGAUAUCGGAAGGAACGCCGGUGGCGAAAGCGAACGGCUGGACCUCUUCUGACGCUGAGGCGCGAAAGCCAGGGGAGCAAACGGG
Molecule: ribosomal RNA, 253 nt
Filed under: uncultured bacterium
Lineage: Bacteria
Description: partial 16S ribosomal RNA
Rfam family: Bacterial small subunit ribosomal RNA
Source: RNAcentral